UCCAUGUGUAGCGGUGGAAUGCGUAGAUAUAUGGAAGAACACCAGUGGCGAAGGCGGCUGUCUGGUCUGCAACUGACGCUGAGGCUCGAAAGCAUGGGUAGCGAACAGGAUUAGAUACCCUGGUGGUCCAUGCCGUAAACGAUGAGUGCUAGGUGUUGGAGGGUUUCCGCCCUUCAGUGCCGCAGCUAACGCAUUAAGCACUCCGCCUGGGGAGUACGACCGCAAGGUUGAAACUCAAAGGAAUUGACGGGGGCCCGCACAAGCGGUGGAGCAUGUGGUUUAAUUCGAAGCUACGCGAAGAACCUUACCAGGUCUUGACAUCUUGCGCUAACCUAAGAGAUUAGGCGUUCCCUUCGGGGACGCAAUGACAGGUGGUGCAUGGUCGUCGUCAGCUCGUGUCGUGAGAUGUUGGGUUAAGUCCCGCAACGAGCGCAACCCUUGUUACUAGUUGCCAGCAUUCAGUUGGGCACUCUAGUGAGACUGCCGGUGACAAACCGGAGGAAGGUGGGGACGACGUCAGAUCAUCAUGCCCCUUAUGACCUGGGCUACACACGUGCUACAAUGGCCGGUACAACGAGCAGCUAACCCGCGAGGGUGUGCAAAUCUCUUAAAGCCGGUCUCAGUUCGGACUGCAGUCUGCAACUCGACUGCACGAAGUCGGAAUCGCUAGUAAUCGCGGAUCAGCAUGCCGCGGUGAAUACGUUCCCGGGCCUUGUACACACCGCCCGUCACACCAUGGAAGUUUGCAAUGCCCAAAGUCAGUGGCCUAACCAUUU
RNAcentral lists this ribosomal RNA (776 nucleotides) under uncultured Lactobacillus sp. Its description in RNAcentral is "bacterial SSU rRNA". It matches the Rfam family "Bacterial small subunit ribosomal RNA", at positions 668 to 1444 of the family's 1533-position model. Lineage: Bacteria; Bacillati; Bacillota; Bacilli; Lactobacillales; Lactobacillaceae. The record is from RNAcentral.